UGCCACUGAUGACUCCACAUAUUUGCUACUCUUGACCAAAGAGUGAUGAGAACAAAACCACUUUAUCUGUCUGAGGCA
Protopterus annectens (West African lungfish) is the source of this 78-nucleotide small nucleolar RNA. RefSeq annotates it as small nucleolar RNA SNORD24. NCBI's taxonomy places the organism in Eukaryota, Metazoa, Chordata, Ceratodontiformes, Protopteridae. The transcript has a single exon. The record is from RefSeq and is a predicted model, not a curated record.